AACGUAGGUGGCAAGCGUUAUCCGGAUUUACUGGGCGUAAAGGGUGUGCAGGCGGGGUUGCAAGUGGUGUAUGAAAUCUCCCGGCUUAACCGGGAGGGGUUAUGCCAGACUGCAAUUCUAGAGGACGAGAGAGGGGGGUGGAAUUCCGGGUGUAGUGGUGAAAUGCGUAGAGAUCCGGAGGAACCCCAGAGGCGAAGGCGGCCCCCUGGCUCGUACCUGACGCUGAGGCGCGAAGGCGUGGGGAGCGAACGGG
RNAcentral lists this ribosomal RNA (253 nucleotides) under uncultured bacterium. RNAcentral describes it as "partial 16S ribosomal RNA". It matches the Rfam family "Bacterial small subunit ribosomal RNA", at positions 524 to 776 of the family's 1533-position model. The record is from RNAcentral.